UACAGAGGGUGCGAGCGUUGUCCGGAUUGACUGGGCGUAAAGCGCACGCAGGCGGUUGCGCGCGUGGGGUGUGAAAUCUGGCCGCUUAACGGCCAGGCGCCAUCCCAUACGGCGCGACUGGAGGGCUGCAGAGGUCGAUGGAAUUGCCGGUGUAGUGGUGAAAUGCGUAGAGAUCGGCAGGAACACCCAGGGGGAAACCAGUCGACUGGGCAGCACCUGACGCUGAGGUGCGAGAGCGUGGGGAGCGAACCGG
RNAcentral lists this ribosomal RNA (253 nucleotides) under uncultured bacterium. RNAcentral's name for it is "partial 16S ribosomal RNA". It matches the Rfam family "Bacterial small subunit ribosomal RNA", at positions 524 to 776 of the family's 1533-position model. The record is from RNAcentral.